RNAcentral lists this ribosomal RNA (419 nucleotides) under bacterium. RNAcentral describes it as "partial 16S ribosomal RNA". It matches the Rfam family "Bacterial small subunit ribosomal RNA", at positions 355 to 776 of the family's 1533-position model. The record is from RNAcentral.
UGGGGGAUAUUGCACAAUGGGCGAAAGCCUGAUGCAGCGACGCCGCGUGGGGGAUGAAGGCCUUCGGGUUGUAAACUUCUUUUGCUCUGAACAAGGCGCACCAUGGGGUGUGUUGAGUGUAGGGGUUGAUUAGCGCCGGCUAACUACGUGCCAGCAGCCGCGGUAAUACGUAGGGCGCGAGCGUUGUCCGGAAUUAUUGGGCGUAAAGGGCUUGUAGGUGGCUGGUUGCGUCUGUCGUGAAAGCUCAUGGCUUAACUGUGGGUUUGCGGUGGGUACUGGCUGGCUUGAGUUCAGGAGGGGAGGCUGGAAUUCCUGGUGUAGCGGUGGAAUGCGCAGAUAUCAGGAGGAAUACCGGUGGCGAAGGCGGGUCUCUGGGCUGUUACUGACACUGAGGAGCGAAAGCAUGGGGAGCGAACAGG